UGGUCUUCACACUCUUUAACAUUCUUUAGGUUCUUGUAGUAACCCAGAACUUACUUUGUAGUGAGAUCUAAAACACCUACAGCUGCCAGUCUUACCUGAGGGGGGUUUUCAACCUUGGAUUUUUGGACACAUUAGAAGCAGCAGAUUAUCCUGCAGGCUUUCAGGCACCAUGAAAAUAGCAGCGUUUAACAUUCAGAAGUUUGGGCGGAGCAAAGUGGCGGACGCAGAUGUUCUGAAGACUCUGGUUAAGAUCAUUUCCCGUUAUGACAUCAUUGUGAUCCUGGAGGUCGUGGACAUCAGCGGGAAAUCUGUGGAAAUUUUAAAGAAAGCAAUCAACACGGCCAACCGGAAACAUCACUACACCCUGAAAAUCAGCACCCGCCUGGGCCGAACACGCUACAAGGAGCAGUUCAUGUUCCUGUACAGGGACGACCUGGUUGACCUGGUUGGCUCAUACCAGUUCGAUGAUGAGAAGACCGAGGGGCUGGACGUGUUUGCCAGGGAUCCGUACAUCCUUCGGUUCAGGUGCCUAAAUACAGUUCUGAAAGAUCUGGUGAUCAUCCCAGUUCACACCAAACCAGAGGACUCGGAAAAGGAGCUGGACGAACUCUACGACGUCUUUGUUCAUGUCAGGAAGAAGUGGAGGACUGAUAACGUGAUGAUCCUGGGAGACUUUAAUGCCGACGGCUCAUACCUCACAAAAAAGGAAAUGAAAACUAUCCGGAUCCGUAGCGACAAGAACUUCCACUGGCUGAUCGGAGACGAUGUGGACACCACAGCGAGCAGCGGGAACGCACACACAUAUGAUAGGAUCGUCGUCUACGGAGACGACAUGCUUCAGGCUGUUGUUCCACAAUCUGCUAAACCCUUCAACUUCCAAAAGGCUUAUAAUCUCUCUGAAGAACAGGCUCUGAAAGUGAGCGACCAUUAUCCUGUGGAGGUGGAGCUGAGGGGUCUGCCUGAAAAAACAGAUGAUGAUGAUGAUGGCCUGAUCGAUGCGAUGAAAGGUGUUGUGAUGGCUGAAGACGGGGAUCUAACGGAGCUGAGGAGAGGAAAUCUGCUUUUGGAGCGGGAGAAGCUCAACCUGGAGAUCCAGAUCCUGCGGUUGAGGGUUGCUGAGAUGACCCGUGGGAAUGCAGUUUGACCUAAAGACGUCAGAUCGAUCUGGAAAACACUCCACAUAGCCAUGAACUACAAUAAUACUGGUUAUCUAGUUGUUACACACUGUACGGCGAAUGCGCAGGGUUUCGCCGUACAGUGUGAGCUGCAGCUGCUUGCAACGACGCAAAAAAUCGAAAAGUGUAUGCCCGGCUUUAGGAGCUUUUCAGGACUUUGAAGAAAUCCUUUCAUUUCAAAAGUUUAAAAUAUAAUAGAUACUGGAGCUUGACUGGGAUAGUCAGACGGCUCGCAGCAGAUGUACUUACCCGUAUUUUCAAAUCCAAAACAUGACGCGUAGGGUUUAAGGCGGGACACAUAACCAGGGGAACGGGAAGAUCGCCCACAGCCAAACCAAAAUAAACAUGGCAGUGAAGGAGGACGUACCUGUAGCUGCUGCCGUCAACAACAAGAGCGUAAAAGCACAAGUUUUAAUUCCUUCCAUUGCUUACUGCGAUUGGCAAAAACCAAAGUUUUUUAGGCAGUCACUGAGUGUUGCCCAAUCAGCCCAGAAGUUUCAGCUGAAUGUCAUCCUUUCCUCAUGCAGAUUCGGUCCCACAUUAAUAAUGCAUAUUGCUAAACUUGGGUUCUAAACAUGAUCAUCCUGGCUGGACAGAUUAGGGGCAUGACCCUGACACGGUACUUACAGCCGUGGAGAUCCUGGGUUGUUUGCGUUGCAGCCAGAGCUGUAACAGCAGGUGUGCUUGCAUGAGUGUCACUGAAUGCUGACAUGACAUCAUCUUCAAAUUUCCUCAAGACCAGGAUGUUCCACUGCGAGCAACAGACGUUAAUAACCAAACCGGAGGAAGUUCUCAGAAGACCUGUGGAUGUGUAACCCUUCAUCAAGCAUUGAUUAACUCUAAAAAACAUUUCCAAAAACCUUAGGAGAGAGCAAUGUUCCGGCCCAAUCUUUAAUUUUUUCUGAUCCAUAAUUGCAUGUUCCACAUGUUCCUAUGCGGCUCAAAUAAACUGUUACAUUAUAAGCACGUAUUGGGGGAAAAUUAUUAUAUAGUUUCUGCAUAACACUCAACAAUUUUUAUUAUUUACGAAUAUUUGGAAGGUUUACGUGGUGGUGGUGGUGGGGGGUAGAGUCGAUCGCCUUGUUUUUAUAUUGUUUCUUAGACUGACAUUUAAUGGCUGAACCAUAACGCUGGUCAAGAUUCUGUCAUCCAGGUCAUAGUCAUUCCAGAAAGGUUAAAAAACAAUCCACUAGACUUUGUUUCCAAGUUUGAAGACGUUUCACUUCCCAUUCAGGGAGAUUGUUCAAUUCAAAAUUCUCAGAAAUAGCAUUGAGUUCCAGGCUUUAUACAGAGACAUAGACAGAAUUAAACAAAAAGGAAAACAAUUUUCUGAAACUAUUGAGGAAAAAAGAUCUGGACUAAUUAUCCUAAUUAUCCUGGAUGGAAGAGAAACGUCUUCAAACUUGGAAACAAAGUCCAGUGGAUUGAUUUUUAACUUUUUUGAAAUGGCUGGACCAGUAAUGUGGGAUAUCUGAAAAGUGGAAUCAGCACCACGUGUUGUCUCUUUAAUGUUUUAAAAUGACUGUAGAGACAAAGGGAAUGUUUUUGAGCUUCUACUUCAAAGCGACUAAAUCCAGAAGCUUCAUUUUACUUUAAAGCCAUUCUGUUAUUUGUUAGAACCAUUUAAAAAAUGUUUAAUGCAGAUUUCAUGACAUAAUGUUUUAGUUUCAUUGUUAUUUUCAAUUCUUAAAAUAUUUUUUUUGUGUGAUUAUUUUACCUCAGGAUGUUUUAGGUUAUAUUACUUUGAUUCAUCACCGCUGACGGAUUGUAAACUUGUUUUUUACAGAUAUGACUUACACCACAUUUUAUAGAUAAAGUGGAAAACUGUACUUCAGCCCAA
RNA transcript from Cyprinodon tularosa, 3015 nucleotides. It is a transcript of the gene named deoxyribonuclease 1 like 4, tandem duplicate 1, with no coding region annotated. NCBI's taxonomy places the organism in Eukaryota, Metazoa, Chordata, Actinopteri, Cyprinodontiformes, Cyprinodontidae. The transcript is spliced from 11 exons. The record is from RefSeq and is a predicted model, not a curated record.